Molecule: ribosomal RNA, 490 nt
Filed under: uncultured bacterium
Lineage: Bacteria
Description: partial 16S ribosomal RNA
Rfam family: Bacterial small subunit ribosomal RNA
Source: RNAcentral
AUUGAACGCUGGCGGCAGGCCUAACACAUGCAAGUCGAACGGUAACAGGAAGCAGCUUGCUGCUUCGCUGACGAGUGGCGGACGGGUGAGUAAUGUCUGGGAAGCUGCCUGAUGGAGGGGGAUAACUACUGGAAACGGUAGCUAAUACCGCAUAAUGUCGCAAGACCAAAGAGGGGGACCUUCGGGCCUCUUGCCAUCGGAUGUGCCCAGAUGGGAUUAGCUUGUUGGUGGGGUAACGGCUCACCAAGGCGACGAUCCCUAGCUGGUCUGAGAGGAUGACCAGCCACACUGGAACUGAGACACGGUCCAGACUCCUACGGGAGGCAGCAGUGGGGAAUAUUGCACAAUGGGCGCAAGCCUGAUGCAGCCAUGCCGCGUGUAUGAAGAAGGCCUUCGGGUUGUAAAGUACUUUCAGCGGGGAGGAAGGGAGUAAAGUUAAUACCUUUGCUCAUUAACGUUACCCGCAGAAGAAGCACCGGCUAACUCCGUG